GAUGAACGCUAGCGGCAGGCCUAAUACAUGCAAGCCGAACGAUAGUGAGAAGCUUGCUUCUCACGAAAGUGGCGCACGGGUGCGUAACGCGUAUGCAACCUACCUUAAUCAGGGGGAUAGCCCGAAGAAAUUCGGAUUAACACCGCAUAAAAUCACAAUAUAGCAUUAUACAAUGAUCAAAUAUUUAUAGGAUUAAGAUGGGCAUGCGUGACAUUAGUUAGUUGGCGGGGUAACGGCCCACCAAGACCACGAUGUCUAGGUGAUUUGAGAGGAUGACCCCCCACACUGGUACUGAGACACGGACCAGACUCCUACGGGAGGCAGCAGUAAGGAAUAUUGGUCAAUGGAGGCAACUCUGAACCAGCCAUGCCGCGUGCAGGAAGACAGCCCUCUGGGUCGUAAACUGCUUUUAUUCGGGAAUAAACCUAUCUACGUGUAGAUAGCUGAAUGUACCGAAGGAAUAAGGAUCGGCUAACUCCGUGCCAGCAGCCGCAGUAA
RNAcentral lists this ribosomal RNA (498 nucleotides) under uncultured bacterium. Its description in RNAcentral is "partial 16S ribosomal RNA". It matches the Rfam family "Bacterial small subunit ribosomal RNA", at positions 28 to 523 of the family's 1533-position model. The record is from RNAcentral.